AGAGCGAACGCUGGCGGCAGGCCUAACACAUGCAAGUCGAGCGCCCCGCAAGGGGAGCGGCAGACGGGAGAGUAACACGUGGGAACGUACCCUUUGGUUCGGAACAACACAGGGAAACUUGUGCUAAUACCGGAUAAGCCCUUACGGGGAAAAAUUUAUUGCCAAAGGAUCGGCCCGCGUCUGAUUAGCUUGUUGGUGAGGUAACGGCUCACCAAGGCUACGAUCAGUAGCUGGUCUGAGAGGAUGAUCAGCCUCACUGGGACUGAGACACGGCCCAGACUCCUACGGGAGGCAGCAGUGGGGAAUAUUGGACAAUGGGCGCAAGCCUGAUCCAGCCAUGCCGCGUGGAUGAUGAAGGCCCUAGGGUUGUAAAGUCCUUUCGACGGGGAAGAUAAUGACGGUACCCGUAGAAGAAGCCCCGGCUAACUUCGUGCCAGCAGCCGC
RNAcentral lists this ribosomal RNA (444 nucleotides) under uncultured bacterium. RNAcentral's name for it is "SSU rRNA". It matches the Rfam family "Bacterial small subunit ribosomal RNA", at positions 26 to 518 of the family's 1533-position model. The record is from RNAcentral.